This 647-nucleotide long non-coding RNA is filed under the name Suricata suricatta (meerkat). Its description in RNAcentral is "lncRNA (ENSSSUG00005022547.1)". Lineage: Eukaryota; Metazoa; Chordata; Mammalia; Carnivora; Herpestidae. The record is from RNAcentral.
AGUUGGGGUGCGAGUGUGCACACGCCCCGCGGUAGGAGGCGGGCCCACGCGGGUAGGUUUCCUCUGGCCCUCCUCUUACCCCCGCUGCAAACUUUAACUCAGGACCGGGGAGAAGCUGGAUAGGCUGACUUGCUGCUACAGUGUUUACUCUGGCGAAAGCGCCAGUCAUUCGGACAGCCACUCCUCCUGGCCGGGGUGCUCCCGCUGGUGGCCCGGCAGAGGGCGCCAGCUCCCGAUCGCUGCGCGGGCCGGCGGAGGGGAGGGGACUUGUUCGAGCCUUCAGGUAAGGAGCGUAGUGAAUCAUCCCGAGGCGGGGGACCCGAUCCUCGCUCGGUGAAAGGAGGGAGGGAGUGGCCGUGGCGCUUUUAAGAAGCUUGGGCUGCGGAGCCACUGUCCGUCGAGAAGCGGUGAUUCUGCCACCCGGAGGACUGGGGAAGGCUCAGGGAGGUGAGGAAGGUCCCUCCGCGCGGUAGCCCCAGGGCAGGGAACGACAGCCUAGCUUAAGGCCGGCAGACACUAGGACACGCCGCGGCGCGCCCUUCUCGGGGCCAGGGGGUGGGGCCAGUUUUACUGUGACUCUGGGCUGUCCUGCUGGGGGCGGCGACGGGAACCUGGGAACUGGCGGCCGGUUCCCGAGCGGCUGUGAU